GGCGCGGAGCCCGAACUGGUAGAGGGCGGCGAGUUGGCACCUCGCCGUUAGAGGGUUCGAUUCCCUCCCGCGCCUCCA
This 78-nucleotide transfer RNA is filed under the name Bryobacterales bacterium. RNAcentral describes it as "tRNA-Ala". It matches the Rfam family "tRNA". Rfam says of the family: Transfer RNA (tRNA) molecules are approximately 80 nucleotides in length. Lineage: Bacteria; Pseudomonadati; Acidobacteriota; Terriglobia; Bryobacterales. The record is from RNAcentral.